UGAGACCUGAUGCCGAGCCGAUUGUGGUGAAGUGGAUGAUCCUAUGCUGUCGAGAAAAGCCUCUAGCGAGUUUCAUGGCGGCCCGUACCCUAAACCGACUCAGGUGGUCAGGUAGAGAAUACCGAGGCGUUCGGGUGAACUAUGGUUAAGGAACUCGGCAAAAUGCCCCCGUAACUUCGGGAGAAGGGGGGCCACGGCUGGUGAUCACCCUUGCGGUGUGAGCUGGUGGUGGCCGCAGAGACCAGCGAGAAGCGACUGUUUACUAAAAACACAGGUCCGUGCGAAGCCGUAAGGCGAUGUAUACGGACUGACGCCUGCCCGGUGCUGGAACGUUAAGGGGACCGGUUAGCUCCAUUUCGGUGGGGCGAAGCUGAGAACUUAAGCGCCAGUAAACGGCGGUGGUAACUAUAACCAUCCUAAGGUAGCGAAAUUCCUUGUCGGGUAAGUUCCGACCUGCACGAAUGGCGUAACGACUUCUCGACUGUCUCAACCAUAGGCCCGGUGAAAUUGCACUACGAGUAAAGAUGCUCGUUUCGCGCAGCAGGACGGAAAGACCCCGGGACCUUUACUAUAGCUUGAUAUUGGUGUUUGGUUCGGCUUGUGUAGGAUAGGUGGGAGACUGUGAAGCCGUGACGCCAGUCAUGGUGGAGUCGUUGUUGAAAUACCACUCUGGUCGUGCUGGAUGUCUAACCUGGGUCCGUGAUCCGGAUCAGGGACAGUGUCUGGUGGGUAGUUUAACUGGGGCGGUUGCCUCCUAAAGGGUAACGGAGGCGCCCAAAGGUUCCCUCAGCCUGGUUGGCAAUCAGGUGUUGAGUGUAAGUGCACAAGGGAGCUUGACUGUGAGACUGACGGGUCGAGCAGGUACGAAAGUAGGGACUAGUGAUCCGGCGGUGGCUUGUGGAAGCGCCGUCGCUCAACGGAUAAAAGGUACCCCGGGGAUAACAGGCUGAUCUUCCCCAAGAGUCCAUAUCGACGGGAUGGUUUGGCACCUCGAUGUCGGCUCGUCGCAUCCUGGGGCUGGAGUCGGUCCCAAGGGUUGGGCUGUUCGCCCAUUAAAGCGGUACGCGAGCUGGGUUUAGAACGUCGUGAGACAGUUCGGUCCCUAUCCGCUGUGCGCGUAGGAGUCUUGAGAAGGGCUGUCCCUAGUACGAGAGGACCGGGACGGACGAACCUCUGGUGUGCCAGUUGUUCUGCCAAGGGCAUGGCUGGUUGGCUACGUUCGGAAAGGAUAACCGCUGAAAGCAUCUAAGCGGGAAGCCUGCUUCGAGAUGAGGGCUCCCUCCCACUUGAUGGGGUAAGGCUCCCAGUAGACGACUGGGUUGAUAGGCCAGAUAUGGAAGACCGGUAACGGUUGGAGUUGACUGGUACUAAUAGGCCGAGGGCUUGUCCUC
Molecule: non-coding RNA, 1391 nt
Filed under: Streptomyces rimosus subsp. rimosus
Lineage: Bacteria; Bacillati; Actinomycetota; Actinomycetes; Kitasatosporales; Streptomycetaceae
Description: bacterial LSU rRNA
Rfam family: Bacterial large subunit ribosomal RNA
Source: RNAcentral